CUGUGGAUGACACUGAUGGAGAGCUGUGUCAGUUACAUGAGGAGUUAGAGAGGCUGACUGAGGUUCUGAACGAGAAAGAGGAGCACAUUGAUCAGUUAAACUGCCAGGUAACAGAUUUGAGGAGACAGCUACAGAAGUCCAGAGAACAUCAGGCCAACCAUGCCAGUGAUCGGGAGAGAACUGAUGCUCCUAAAGCACAGAAGGUUGACUCAGAUCAGGACCAAUCCAGACUCAGCAGUGCCAAAUCUGACAGGAAACCAGUCCCACAAACAAUGUCCUCUCCAAC
Long non-coding RNA from Liolophura sinensis, 286 nucleotides. RefSeq lists it as uncharacterized. The record is from RefSeq and is a predicted model, not a curated record. The transcript is spliced from 3 exons. Lineage: Eukaryota; Metazoa; Mollusca; Polyplacophora; Chitonida; Chitonidae.